UGAGAUAGCUAGACAGUCGCAUUAUUUUUACUUAAAUAAUGAGGAAAGUCCGGGCUCCAUAGGGUAGAAUGCCAGGUAAUACCUGGGAGGCGUGAGCCUACGGAAAGUGCCACAGAAAAUAAACCGCCAAUAGGUAAGGGUGAAAAGGUGUGGUAAGAGCACACCGCGCAGAUGGUAACAUACUGCGGCAAGGUAAACCCCAUUCGGAGCAAAGCCAAAUAGAGGAGCGAUAAUGUGACCCGCAUUGUUCCUGGGUAGGCUGCUUGAGGUAUAUGGUGACAUAUAUCCUAGAUGAAUGGCUGUCCACGACAGAACCCGGCUUAUCGGCUAUCUCAAUUU
RNAcentral lists this RNase P RNA (339 nucleotides) under Candidatus Nitrosacidicoccus tergens. RNAcentral describes it as "Chromatiaceae bacterium RW Bacterial RNase P class A". It matches the Rfam family "Bacterial RNase P class A". From Rfam's summary of the family: Ribonuclease P (RNase P) is a ubiquitous endoribonuclease, found in archaea, bacteria and eukarya as well as chloroplasts and mitochondria. Its best characterised activity is the generation of mature 5'-ends of tRNAs by cleaving the 5'-leader elements of precursor-tRNAs. Cellular RNase Ps are ribonucleoproteins. Lineage: Bacteria; Pseudomonadati; Pseudomonadota; Gammaproteobacteria; Chromatiales; Chromatiaceae. The record is from Rfam by way of RNAcentral.